This 469-nucleotide ribosomal RNA is filed under the name Centipeda artemidis. RNAcentral describes it as "bacterial SSU rRNA". It matches the Rfam family "Bacterial small subunit ribosomal RNA", at positions 28 to 477 of the family's 1533-position model. Lineage: Bacteria; Bacillati; Bacillota; Negativicutes; Selenomonadales; Selenomonadaceae. The record is from RNAcentral.
GACGAACGCUGGCGGCGUGCUUAACACAUGCAAGUCGAACGGAGCGAAUGAAAGCUUGCUUUUAUGAGCUUAGUGGCAAACGGGUGAGUAACACGUAGACAACCUGCCGAUCAGAUGGGGGCAACAUUCCGAAAGGAAUGCUAAUACCGAAUGGCGUGUAGGGGAGGCAUCUUCCCUACAUGAAAGAUGGCCUCAUAUAUAAGCUAUCACUGAUCGAUGGGUCUGCGUCUGAUUAGCUAGUAGGUAAGGUAACGGCUUACCUAGGCGACGAUCAGUAGCCGGUCUGAGAGGAUGAACGGCCACAUUGGGACUGAGACACGGCCCAGACUCCUACGGGAGGCAGCAGUGGGGAAUCUUCCGCAAUGGGCGCAAGCCUGACGGAGCAACGCCGCGUGAGUGAAGAAGGUCUUCGGAUCGUAAAGCUCUGUUGAAGGGGACGAACGAUCGAGGGGCGAACAGGCUCUCGGUA